CGGGCUGGGCGAAGCGCGCAACGACUGGGACCUGAUCUACCACGUGUCGUGCGAGGGACGGGCGAGGAAAAGAAAAGAUGCUCGGCGAGAAAAAAAGAGGUCGCGACCAGGAGAAAAGGAGGCCGCGUACCCUAAUCCAGAUUCCCUGUCGCUGCCUCUCGCCGGCCUCCACGCGAGUCCUGGCCCCGCCGCCACCGCUCUCUCUCCUCCUUGCCCUCGUAGCAGUGGCGGCCUCGGCCUACUACGAGGAUGAGGGUGGCGCAGACCCCAGAUGCCCAAAGCUCUCGCGAGCACGAGCAUCACAGCCGUGGCGCUUGUGAGGACUGCCAUAGAGGAAGGUGGUGUUGCGGCAGGACUGGCUGGUCGCGAAUCUUUAGGAGAGGAGGACGAGUGAGGCCAGCAAUCAGCACGGCAGGGACACCAUGCCGUGUGCGGAGACUCUCCUCCCCGACUUCUCCGUUUCUUUGAAUCUUCGAUGCGAUCCCCGAAGAGCCUAUGAAGAAUCUGGGGGGUGAGUUUGAUGAUUGAGGACGAGGAGCCAAGCACACACGACAAACCAAUUCAAGUCAGGUUUAAGGCACCGACAGGUCUAACCAGCAGGGGUGCUCACUCACACCUAAGGAAGAAGAUCAAGAAGCGGAACUGGUAUAGGAAUCGUAUGAAGAUUUGGAUCCGGGCUAGCGAGAGCAAGGACAAGUUUUGAUUUGUAUCUUAUGCGGAUUUUGCGAGGAGAUGCUGCCUUUCGUUGCGAUGUUGGGGGCUUUUACAGUGCUGCGGGUUGCUGCUCUGCAAUGAUGUUAGCGAUGGCGACACAAGCAAGAACACAGUCCCCAAAUGGUUUGCUCUUUAUUUGUGGACCAAUAUUACAAUAUACGACACGAGACAGGAGACUAGGUGCAUAACCUUUUAUCAAGAUACCAUCAGAACUGGUAGGGCAUGUUCUGAUUGAGUCAUGGAAUAUGUAACAACAAUGCCUUUGACAUUGGAAAUCUGAUCUUUCUCAACUUCAGGCUAUGUUUCUCAAUAUAGGCCUCUUAUAUGUGUGGUCUCCUUGUAUUUGGAUGAUAUACAAAUUGGUUCCAGUUCCAGGUUUCCAGCGAUUGUCAGGGCAUCGACUGCGUAGUAUCUAACAGGGACGCUCCAACUGUGUCAGGUUGUCGCCAGCGGGGAAUGGAAAGGUGAAGACAAGAUCUCCACGACACCGCAUCCUGCUGCCAAGUAGGUUCAUCUUUGAUUGGUUUGCGACUGCACAUGCCAGAGAUCAAGAAUAAGCUCUGUACUGGAUAUGUGAAUGGGAUAUCUUUUUCUUGCAGGAAUUAUGGGUUCACAAGACCAUAAGUUUACUAUUGUUGGUGAAAUAGUAUCCCUCAGUUACUUUCAUAGUUUCAUGCAUAGGGGUUCGAUCAUCUGCGGGGAUGCUUAUAUAUACUUUGAACCUUCCGCUACACCUGGUUUUUCCAAAAUUCUAUCAUCUUUGCGGGAAGUUAUGGAAGUAUCAUUCAUAUUUUAAAUCAUUUUCUUCUAUGACUGCUCAGGGUGUUUAAAGCUAAAUUACGUGCGCUUGUAUUGUAUUUAACCACUCAACAAUAUAUUUGCUCCAAGAACUUUCCCCGAAAGCUGAUUUCUCAUUAUCUCCAUUUCCCAAUUCCUUCUGGUGCUCAUGCCGAUUGCUGGAAGAAUCCUAAUGGUAUAGACUAUAUACUCUGCUCCUCUGCUAAGGUUAAUCUACUGGGUAUGUUGCGAAGAUAGUUUCAUCUUCCCAUAAUGUUUGGUGAUCAAUUUUAACGUGCAUCAUAUGAGGAAGCAUUGACAAGACUUUUUUUGAAUGUUGGUAUAUUGCUGCAAUCAUUAAAAUAGCAAUUCUUGUUACCAUAGUAUCUACAGCCUUGGUUCUAUAUUAAAUGUUGCAGAUUUGUCAAGAUUUGCAUGUAUCUACACACUGAAACGCGUUUGGAUACAUGCUUAUCUAGACAAAUAUGUGAACCAAGGUAGUAAUAGUUAUUGGGGAAGCUGUAAAGAUCACCUAUUUGCUAUAGAAAAGAUAUUCAGUUAUUAGAUCAUUUCUUCCCCUAAAAGCAUAACUCUGUUUACAAUCUAUGCUGAGAAUCAUUCCCUAGCUCAAUGGUCUGCCAAAGUGUUGAUGCAAAUAUAAGUAAACGUGCACAAAUUUGUUAUUAGGCCGACAUAACAGACUAAAAGUCUUGAGAAGUUUAUGAACGCAGAACUUGAUAAAACUUAACAAGUUUGCAUCGCACAACUAUAUGAAACUGUUCACUGAAGAACAACUAAUCUUUCUCCACACAGGAUAAUGUGCAUUAAAUAUAUACUUAUUCAUUUAUGGAAUAGUAAAAGAGACCACAAUAAUGAAAAGAACAUGUAGUUCAGGCCAGGUUUUCAAUGCAAAAUUGGGACGAGACCUUCUGUUUCUUUUGAAUAACUGCAUUUCCGCCAUACUAUUUGUUUGCCAUCUAAAUGGAGCAUGUUUGCUGGGCAUCUCUCCAUGUUAAUUCACAUAGGCAUAGUUUAUUAGAUUAAAUUUGCAGAUGUAGCAAUUUUUUAGCAUAAACGGAUUCAUGAGCCCUUCAAUAGUCAUUCUUUACGCUUGUUAAUGAAAUGAUCUUGUAGAUAUCGAUGGCAAUGAAUUAAGGGCAAUCAGUUUUUCUGCUUUGCUAAGCCGAAAUUGCAGUCAGUAUCUUGAUAAUGAAAUCUCAAUUCCUAAAUCCUUGUUAUUCAUUUUCUAGGAAUUUGAAAAUAUUGCUGCAGAUGGAUAGGUAAAUUUCAUGUUCCAGCUAGAAUGCCCGUCGCUGCUGACACCAGGUAUCUCGUGGCACACGUCGACAUACUCCCUUCAGAGCAGCAUCUAUCCAUAGUCCAUAAUCCUUCUGGGAAACUAUUUUGAUUUCUUCAGAAUAUCGGUUGUGUUUUAAAUUCUCUUCUUUCCUGAAUGAACAUACUAAAGCUCAAAAUUCCGAACUUUGUGCUCUGGGACUGACAUCCUUUUAUGUUUUAGAUGAGCAAUAGCAUUAUAUAUUUUAUCUUCCGUGAAAUAGAGCAAGUUCUUAGGCGAUGAUCAACGGAAAUCAUAAGUAAAAUUUGAAGUACUAAAGUGUUUGUUUCUACCUCCUUCUGAUCCUUGUGUUGUGCCGUUGUGUUCCUAUUAGAUAAAUAAGCCAAUAUCCAGAUCUAUCAAAAGUUUUAAUCCAUCCCAUAUAGGUUGUCUUAGAUUUACAAAAAAGUUGGAUGUAUCUGCAUACUGUUUAGUGUUUUUACACACCCAAACUUUAACAAAUCUAAGACAAGUUUUGUAGGACGGAGGGAGUACUACCAUUUGAGCUUUUAUUUUUUAAAUAUUUAGUGGAAUGUACUUGUAGUUUUUUCUUGGUCAGAUGACCCCUUGCUUUCUAAGUACAUGAAGUUCAUAAAGCUAUACUGACUUGUGCAAAUAUCUUAUACUGUACUUGUUUCUUCUCGAUUUCCUUCUUGCACUUGAUAUCUGCGGUCACACACCAACUCUUUCAUCUGGUUAAAGACAAAUUUCAGAAUGCCAAUUCUAUGGAGAAACAACAGAUGAUUGCUAGAUGACAAGAACCCUUCCCUGCUGAUGCACUACAUCACCCCUGCCCUGAUGUUCCAGCUCUACAAGCUUUGCUGCUGAACUCUGUUUGCUCUGUGUGUGCUCAUUUUAUCAGUGUACACCAUCAGUUUGAUGUGUGCUAAUUAGUUCAGGCAUCAUUUCAACCUUGUAUGUAAAGUAAACUCGUGUAACCAUCUACCUGUAUCAGCCACUGUGUUGUGUUUCCAUCAAGCAAAAUCAAAUGUAUAAUUUGUUUUCUGGUAA
Molecule: long non-coding RNA, 3838 nt
Organism: Lolium perenne
Lineage: Eukaryota; Viridiplantae; Streptophyta; Magnoliopsida; Poales; Poaceae
Source: RefSeq, a predicted model, not a curated record